AGAGUUUGAUCCUGGCUCAGAAUGAACGCUGGCGGCAUGCCUAACACAUGCAAGUCGAACGAAGCCUUCGGGCUUAGUGGCGCACGGGUGCGUAACGCGUGGGAAUCUGCCCUUGGGUUCGGAAUAACAGUUAGAAAUGACUGCUAAUACCGAAUGAUGUCGUAAGACCAAAGAUUAUCGCCAGGGAUGAGCCCGCGUAGGAUUAGCUAGUUGAUGUGGUAAAGGCGCACCAAGGCGACGAUCCUUAGCUGGUCUGAGAGGAUGAUCAGCCACACUGGAACUGAGACACGGCCCAGACUCCUACGGGAGGCAGCAGUGGGGAAUAUUGGACAAUGGGCGAAAGCCUGAUCCAGCAAUGCCGCGUGAGUGAUGGAGGCCUUAGGGUUGUAAAGCUCUUUUACCCGGGAUGAUAAUGACAGUACCGGGAGAAUAAGCUCCGGCUAACUCCGUG
Molecule: ribosomal RNA, 451 nt
Filed under: uncultured bacterium
Lineage: Bacteria
Description: bacterial SSU rRNA
Rfam family: Bacterial small subunit ribosomal RNA
Source: RNAcentral